AAAGAAACCAACAGGGAUUGCCCUAGUAACGGCGAGUGAAGCGGCAACAGCUCAAAUUUGAAAUCUGGCCCUCGGGUCCGAGUUGUAAUUUGUAGAGGAUGCUUUUGGUGAGGUGCCUUCCGAGUUCCCUGGAACGGGACGCCAUAGAGGGUGAGAGCCCCGUCUGGUUGGACACCGAGCCUCUGUAAAGCUCCUUCGACGAGUCGAGUAGUUUGGGAAUGCUGCUCUAAAUGGGAGGUAUAUGUCUUCUAAAGCUAAAUACCGGCCAGAGACCGAUAGCGCACAAGUAGAGUGAUCGAAAGAUGAAAAGCACUUUGAAAAGAGAGUUAAAAAGUACGUGAAAUUGUUGAAAGGGAAGCGCUUAUGACCAGACUUGGGCUUGGUUGAUCAUCCUGGGUUCUCCCUGGUGCACUCUUCCAGUUCAGGCCAGCAUCAGUUCGCUGCGGGGGAUAAAAGUUUUGGGAAUGUGGCUCCCUCGGGAGUGUUAUAGCCCAUUGCAUAAUACCCUGCUCCGGACUGAGGUUCGCGCAUCUGCAAGGAUGCUGGCGUAAUGGUCAUCAGCGACCCGUCUUGAAACACGGACCAAGGAGUCGUCUUCGUAUGCGAGUGUUCGGGUGUUAAACCCCUACGCGUAAUGAAAGUGAACGCAGGUGAGAGCUUCGGCGCAUCAUCGACCGAUCCUGAUGUUCUCGGAUGGAUUUGAGUAAGAGCAUACGGGGCCGGACCCGAAAGAAGGUGAACUAUGCCUGUAUAGGGUGAAGCCAGAGGAAACUCUGGUGGAGGCUCGCAGCGGUUCUGACGUGCAAAUCGAUCGUCAAAUAUGGGCAUGGGGCGAAAGACUAAUCGAACCUUCUAGUAGCUGGUUUCCGCCGAAGUUUCCCUCAGGA
Molecule: ribosomal RNA, 887 nt
Filed under: Calonectria leguminum
Lineage: Eukaryota; Fungi; Ascomycota; Sordariomycetes; Hypocreales; Nectriaceae
Also listed under: 1 other name
Description: eukaryotic LSU rRNA
Rfam family: Eukaryotic large subunit ribosomal RNA
Source: RNAcentral